CGCUCGGUAGUCUAACGGUAGAGCGACCGCGUCGGAUGCGAAGGGUCGCGGGUUCGAACCCCGGCCGAGUUA
Non-coding RNA from Potamilus streckersoni, 72 nucleotides. Lineage: Eukaryota; Metazoa; Mollusca; Bivalvia; Unionida; Unionidae. The record is from the annotation of a GenBank genome assembly.